GUCCACAUAGCUCAGCUGGAUAGAGCGCCACCCUCCUAAGGUGGAAGUCGGGAGUUCGAAUCUCUUUGUGGACGCCA
Molecule: transfer RNA, 77 nt
Filed under: bacterium
Lineage: Bacteria
Description: tRNA-Arg
Rfam family: tRNA
About the family: Transfer RNA (tRNA) molecules are approximately 80 nucleotides in length. Their secondary structure includes four short double-helical elements and three loops (D, anti-codon, and T loops).
Source: RNAcentral